Molecule: ribosomal RNA, 765 nt
Filed under: Bacillus pumilus
Lineage: Bacteria; Bacillati; Bacillota; Bacilli; Caryophanales; Bacillaceae
Description: bacterial SSU rRNA
Rfam family: Bacterial small subunit ribosomal RNA
Source: RNAcentral
CGGCGGCUUGCUAAUACAUGCAAGUCGAGCGGACAGAAGGGAGCUUGCUCCCGGAUGUUAGCGGCGGACGGGUGAGUAACACGUGGGUAACCUGCCUGUAAGACUGGGAUAACUCCGGGAAACCGGAGCUAAUACCGGAUAGUUCCUUGAACCGCAUGGUUCAAGGAUGAAAGACGGUUUCGGCUGUCACUUACAGAUGGACCCGCGGCGCAUUAGCUAGUUGGUGAGGUAACGGCUCACCAAGGCGACGAUGCGUAGCCGACCUGAGAGGGUGAUCGGCCACACUGGGACUGAGACACGGCCCAGACUCCUACGGGAGGCAGCAGUAGGGAAUCUUCCGCAAUGGACGAAAGUCUGACGGAGCAACGCCGCGUGAGUGAUGAAGGUUUUCGGAUCGUAAAGCUCUGUUGUUAGGGAAGAACAAGUGCAAGAGUAACUGCUUGCACCUUGACGGUACCUAACCAGAAAGCCACGGCUAACUACGUGCCAGCAGCCGCGGUAAUACGUAGGUGGCAAGCGUUGUCCGGAAUUAUUGGGCGUAAAGGGCUCGCAGGCGGUUUCUUAAGUCUGAUGUGAAAGCCCCCGGCUCAACCGGGGAGGGUCAUUGGAAACUGGGAAACUUGAGUGCAGAAGAGGAGAGUGGAAUUCCACGUGUAGCGGUGAAAUGCGUAGAGAUGUGGAGGAACACCAGUGGCGAAGGCGACUCUCUGGUCUGUAACUGACGCUGAGGAGCGAAAGCGUGGGGAGCGAACAGGAUUAGAACUU